Molecule: ribosomal RNA, 253 nt
Filed under: uncultured bacterium
Lineage: Bacteria
Description: partial 16S ribosomal RNA
Rfam family: Bacterial small subunit ribosomal RNA
Source: RNAcentral
UACGUAGGGGGCCAGCGUUGCUCGGAAUUACUGGGCGUAAAGGGUUCGUAGGCGGUGCGGCAAGUUGGAAGUGAAAUCUCUGGGCUUAACCCAGAGGCUGCUUUCAAAACUGCCGUGCUCGAGUGCGAGAGAGGCCAGUGGAAUUGCAGGUGUAGCGGUGAAAUGCGUAGAUAUCUGCAGGAACACCCGUGGCGAAGGCGGCUUUCUGGCCUGUUCUUGACGCUGAGGCGCGAAAGCUAGGGGAGCAAACGGG